UACAGGGGGUGCAAACGUUGCUCGGAAUCAUUGGGCGUAAAGCGCACGUAGGCGGUUUGUUAUGUCGGAUGUGAAAGCCCUUGGCUCAACUGAGGAAGUGCAUCCGAAACUGGCAAGCUAGAGUACUAAAGAGGGUCGCGGAAUUCCCGGUGUAGAGGUGAAAUUCGUAGAUAUCGGGAGGAACACCGGUGGCGAAGGCGGGUCUCUGGGCCGAUAUUGACGCUGAGGAGCGAAAGCGUGGGGAGCGAACAGG
This 253-nucleotide ribosomal RNA is filed under the name uncultured bacterium. Its description in RNAcentral is "partial 16S ribosomal RNA". It matches the Rfam family "Bacterial small subunit ribosomal RNA", at positions 524 to 776 of the family's 1533-position model. The record is from RNAcentral.